Molecule: long non-coding RNA, 356 nt
Organism: Oncorhynchus keta (chum salmon)
Lineage: Eukaryota; Metazoa; Chordata; Actinopteri; Salmoniformes; Salmonidae
Exons: 3
Source: RefSeq, a predicted model, not a curated record
GCUGUGUCAACAUCCCCGCUGGCAGCCAUGCGAUGUAACUGGAGUGAAUCAUAAACGGAUGCCAUUUCAGAGUUGUCUCUACGCGACUCCAGUUCUGGUAUACCUCUUCGCUCCUCCUAGACAGGGAGAGGGAGAGAGGUGUAUCAGGAAGGUCUGAGAUGAUACUAAUGCUGUCUGACCGGGCAGAGGAAGUGUGCCACUUCAUUUGACCUGCAUCCUGUGUUCAAAUUGAUUGCAAGUCCAACCAGUCCUGAGGCAACCACAACGCAGAAUACAGCAAUAAUAACCAUACCCAGAGUCCUCUCAUUCAUGUCUGAAUUAAAUAAAAACAAGGAAACGAUUUGCGUAAAGUAUGU